UGACCGCUGGCGGCAGGCCUAACACAUGCAAGUCGAGCGGAUGAAGGGAGCUUGCUCCUGGAUUCAGCGGCGGACGGGUGAGUAAUGCCUAGGAAUCUGCCUGGUAGUGGGGGAUAACGUCCGGAAACGGGCGCUAAUACCGCAUACGUCCUGAGGGAGAAAGUGGGGGAUCUUCGGACCUCACGCUAUCAGAUGAGCCUAGGUCGGAUUAGCUAGUUGGUGGGGUAAAGGCCUACCAAGGCGACGAUCCGUAACUGGUCUGAGAGGAUGAUCAGUCACACUGGAACUGAGACACGGUCCAGACUCCUACGGGAGGCAGCAGUGGGGAAUAUUGGACAAUGGGCGAAAGCCUGAUCCAGCCAUGCCGCGUGUGUGAAGAAGGUCUUCGGAUUGUAAAGCACUCUAAGUUGGGAGGAAGGGCAGUAAGUUAAUACCUUGCUGUUUUGACGUUACCAACAGAAUAAGCACCGGCUAACUUCGUG
This 482-nucleotide ribosomal RNA is filed under the name uncultured bacterium. RNAcentral's name for it is "partial 16S ribosomal RNA". It matches the Rfam family "Bacterial small subunit ribosomal RNA", at positions 30 to 507 of the family's 1533-position model. The record is from RNAcentral.